ACAUACGACCAUAGGGUGUGGAGAACAGGGCUUCCCGUCCGCUCAGCCGUACUUAAGCCACACGCCGGCAGGUUAGUAGUAUGGUGGGUGACCACAUGCGAAUCUCUGCUGUUGUAUGUU
Penicillium steckii is the source of this 120-nucleotide ribosomal RNA. The record is from Rfam. NCBI's taxonomy places the organism in Eukaryota, Fungi, Ascomycota, Eurotiomycetes, Eurotiales, Aspergillaceae.